Molecule: transfer RNA, 73 nt
Filed under: Camelus bactrianus (Bactrian camel)
Lineage: Eukaryota; Metazoa; Chordata; Mammalia; Artiodactyla; Camelidae
Also listed under: 2 other names
Rfam family: tRNA
About the family: Transfer RNA (tRNA) molecules are approximately 80 nucleotides in length. Their secondary structure includes four short double-helical elements and three loops (D, anti-codon, and T loops). Further hydrogen bonds mediate the characteristic L-shaped molecular structure. tRNAs have two regions of fundamental functional importance: the anti-codon, which is responsible for specific mRNA codon recognition, and the 3' end, to which the tRNAs corresponding amino acid is attached (by aminoacyl-tRNA synthetases). tRNAs cope with the degeneracy of the genetic code in two manners: having more than one tRNA (with a specific anti-codon) for a particular amino acid; and 'wobble' base-pairing, i.e. permitting non-standard base-pairing at the 3rd anti-codon position.
Source: Rfam by way of RNAcentral
GAGGGUAUAGCUCAAGUGGUAGAGCACAUGCUUGGCAUGCAUGAGGUCCUGGGUUCAAUUCCCAGGACCUCCU